RNAcentral lists this ribosomal RNA (252 nucleotides) under uncultured bacterium. Its description in RNAcentral is "partial 16S ribosomal RNA". It matches the Rfam family "Bacterial small subunit ribosomal RNA", at positions 524 to 776 of the family's 1533-position model. The record is from RNAcentral.
UACGAAGGGUGCAAGCGUUGUUCGGAUUUACUGGGCGUAAAGCGCACGUAGGCGGAUCGUUAAGUCGGGGUGAAAUCCUGGAGCUCAACUCCAGAACUGCCUUCGAUACUGGCGAUCUUGAGUCCGGAAGAGGUGAGUGGAACUCCUAGUGUAGAGGUGGAAUUCGUAGAUAUUAGGAAGAACACCAGUGGCGAAGGCGGCUCACUGGUCCGGUACUGACGCUGAGGUGCGAAAGCGUGGGGAGCAAACAGG